RNAcentral lists this small RNA (123 nucleotides) under Salmonella enterica subsp. enterica serovar Corvallis. RNAcentral describes it as "partial RtT sRNA". It matches the Rfam family "RtT RNA", at positions 41 to 130 of the family's 130-position model. From Rfam's summary of the family: This family represents a bacterial cis-regulatory element known as RtT RNA. The exact function of RtT is unknown although it is thought that it may be involved in changing the cellular response in relation to amino acid starvation. The record is from RNAcentral. Lineage: Bacteria; Pseudomonadati; Pseudomonadota; Gammaproteobacteria; Enterobacterales; Enterobacteriaceae.
GUUCGAAUCCUGCACGACCCACCAAUCGUUCGGUGGAAACGAGAAUAAAGCGUGAAGGAUAACGUUGCGUCAGCAACGGCCCGUAGGGCGAGGCGAAGCCGAGUCAUCCUGCACAACCCACCA